Molecule: ribosomal RNA, 451 nt
Filed under: uncultured bacterium
Lineage: Bacteria
Description: partial 16S ribosomal RNA
Rfam family: Bacterial small subunit ribosomal RNA
Source: RNAcentral
GAUGAACGCUGGCGGCGUGCCUAACACAUGCAAGUCGAGCGGCAGCGCGGGGUGCUUGCACCCUGUCGGCGAGCGGCGGACGGCUGAGUAGCGCGUGGGAACGUGCCCCAAAGUGAGGAAUAACUGCCCGAAAGGGUAGCUAAUACCGCAUAUUAUCUUCGGAUCAAAGGAUUUAUCCGCUUUGGGAGCGGCUCGCGUCGGAUUAGGUAGUUGGUGAGGUAAUGGCUCACCAAGCCGACGAUCCGUAGCUGGUCUGAGAGGAUGACCAGCCAGACUGGAACUGAGACACGGUCCAGACUCCUACGGGAGGCAGCAGUGAGGAAUCUUCCACAAUGGGCGAAAGCCUGAUGGAGCAACGCCGCGUGCAGGACGAAGGCCUUCGGGUUGUAAACUGCUUUUAUAAGUGAGGAAUAUGACGGUAACUUAUGAAUAAGGAUCGGCUAACUACGUG